RNAcentral lists this ribosomal RNA (468 nucleotides) under uncultured bacterium. Its description in RNAcentral is "partial 16S ribosomal RNA". It matches the Rfam family "Bacterial small subunit ribosomal RNA", at positions 28 to 507 of the family's 1533-position model. The record is from RNAcentral.
GACGAACGCUGGCGGCGUGCUUAACACAUGCAAGUCGAACGGAAAGGCCCUGCUCUUGUGGGGUGCUCGAGUGGCGAACGGGUGAGUAACACGUGAGUAACCUGCCCUUGACUUUGGGAUAACUUCAGGAAACUGGGGCUAAUACCGGAUAGGAGCUCCUGCUGCAUGGUGGGGGUUGGAAAGUUUCGGCGGUUGGGGAUGGACUCGCGGCUUAUCAGCUUGUUGGUGGGGUAGUGGCUUACCAAGGCUUUGACGGGUAGCCGGCCUGGGAGGGUGACCGGCCACAUUGGGCCUGAGGUACGGACCAGUCUCCUACGGGAGGCAGCAGUGGGGAAUAUUGCACAGUGGGCGGGAGCGUGAUGCGACAACGCCGCGUGCGUGAUGACGGCCUUCGGGUUGUAAACCGCUUUCGCCUGUGACGAAGCGUGAGUGACGGUAAUGGGUAAAGAAGCACCGGCUAACUACGUG